Molecule: ribosomal RNA, 497 nt
Filed under: uncultured bacterium
Lineage: Bacteria
Description: partial 16S ribosomal RNA
Rfam family: Bacterial small subunit ribosomal RNA
Source: RNAcentral
GAUGAACGCUGGCGGCGUGCCUAAUACAUGCAAGUCGAGCGAACAGACGAGGAGCUUGCUCCUCUGACGUUAGCGGCGGACGGGUGAGUAACACGUGGAUAACCUACCUAUAAGACUGGGAUAACUUCGGGAAACCGGAGCUAAUACCGGAUAAUAUAUUGAACCGCAUGGUUCAAUAGUGAAAGACGGUUUUGCUGUCACUUAUAGAUGGAUCCGCGCCGCAUUAGCUAGUUGGUAAGGUAACAGCUUACCAAGGCAACGAUGCGUAGCCGACCUGAGAGGGUGAUCGGCCACACUGGAACUGAGACACGGUCCAGACUCCUACGGGAGGCAGCAGAAGGGAAUCUUCCGCAAUGGGCGAAAGCCUGACGGAGCAACGCCGCGUGAGUGAUGAAGGUCUUCGGAUCGUAAAACUCUGUUAUUAGGGAAGAACAAAUGUGUAAGUAACUAUGCACGUCUUGACGGUACCUAAUCAGAAAGCCACGGCUAACUACGUG